ACGAUGAAUCUUCUAGCUUGCUAGAAGUGGAUUAGUGGCGCACGGGUGAGUAAUGCAUAGGUUAUGUGCCCUUUAGUCUGGGAUAGCCACUGGAAACGGUGAUUAAUACUGGAUACUCCCUACGGGGGAAAGUUUUUCGCUAAAGGAUCAGCCUAUGUCCUAUCAGCUUGUUGGUGAGGUAAUGGCUCACCAAGGCUAUGACGGGUAUCCGGCCUGAGAGGGUGAUCGGACACACUGGAACUGAGACACGGUCCAGACUCCUACGGGAGGCAGCAGUAGGGAAUAUUGCUCAAUGGGGGAAACCCUGAAGCAGCAACGCCACGUGGAGGAUGAAGGUUUUAGGAUUGUAAACUCCUUUUGUUAGAGAAGAUUAUGACGGUAUCUAACGAAUAAGCACCGGCUAACUCCGUGCCAGCAGCCGCGGUAAUACGGAGGGUGCAAGCGUUACUCGGAAUCACUGGGCGUAAAGAGUGCGUAGGCGGGGUAAUAAGUCAGAUGUGAAAUCCUGUAGCUUAACUACAGAACUGCAUUUGAAACUGUUACUCUGGAGUGUGGGAGAGGUAGGUGGAAUUCUUGGUGUAGGGGUAAAAUCCGUAGAGAUCAAGAGGAAUACUCAUUGCGAAGGCGACCUGCUGGAACAUUACUGACGCUGAUGCACGAAAGCGUGGGGAGCAAACAGGAUUAGAUACCCUGGUAGUCCACGCCCUAAACGAUGGAUGCUAGUUGUUGCCUUGCUUGUCAGGGCAGUAAUGCAGCUAACGCAUUAAGCAUCCCGCCUGGGGAGUACGGUCGCAAGAUUAAAACUCAAAGGAAUAGACGGGGACCCGCACAAGCGGUGGAGCAUGUGGUUUAAUUCGAAGAUACGCGAAGAACCUUACCUAGGCUUGACAUUG
Molecule: ribosomal RNA, 893 nt
Filed under: uncultured bacterium
Lineage: Bacteria
Description: bacterial SSU rRNA
Rfam family: Bacterial small subunit ribosomal RNA
Source: RNAcentral